RNAcentral lists this transfer RNA (71 nucleotides) under Neucentropus mandjuricus. Its description in RNAcentral is "tRNA-Gly". Lineage: Eukaryota; Metazoa; Arthropoda; Insecta; Trichoptera; Polycentropodidae. The record is from RNAcentral.
AUUUAUAUAAUAUAUUAAUUUUAGUAUAUCUAACUUCCAAUUAGAAAGAUUAAUAACAUUUAAUAUAAAUA